AGGUCUCCGUAGGUGAACCUGCGGAGGGAUCAUUACACAAUAACAAGGCGGGUUGGACACCCCCCGCUGGGCACUGCUUCACGGCGUGCGCGGCGGGGCCGGCCCUGCUGAAUUAUUUACCCGUGUCUUUUGCGUACUUCUUGUUUCCUGGGUGGGCUCGCCCGCCCUCAGGACCAACCACAAACCUUUUGCAAUAGCAAUCAGCGUCAGUAACAACGUAAUUAAUUACAACUUUCAACAACGGAUCUCUUGGUUCUGGCAUCGAUGAAGAACGCAGCGAAAUGCGAUACGUAGUGUGAAUUGCAGAAUUCAGUGAAUCAUCGAAUCUUUGAACGCACAUUGCGCCCUUUGGUAUUCCAAAGGGCAUGCCUGUUCGAGCGUCAUUUGUACCCUCAAGCUUUGCUUGGUGUUGGGCGUCUUUUGUCUCCAGUUCGCUGGAGACUCGCCUUAAAGUCAUUGGCAGCCGGCCUACUGGUUUCGGAGCGCAGCACAAGUCGCGCUCUUCGCCAGCCAAGGUCAGCGUCCAGCAAGCCUUUUUUUCAACCUUUGACCUCGGAUCAGGUAGGGAUACCCGCUGAACUUAAGCAUAUCAUA
This 594-nucleotide unclassified non-coding RNA is filed under the name Alternaria infectoria. RNAcentral describes it as "sequence contains ITS1, 5.8S rRNA gene, ITS2". The stretch from base 230 to 383 matches the Rfam family "5.8S ribosomal RNA". The record is from RNAcentral. Lineage: Eukaryota; Fungi; Ascomycota; Dothideomycetes; Pleosporales; Pleosporaceae.